Molecule: non-coding RNA, 74 nt
Organism: Gymnothorax javanicus (giant moray)
Lineage: Eukaryota; Metazoa; Chordata; Actinopteri; Anguilliformes; Muraenidae
Source: the annotation of a GenBank genome assembly
UUUGGGGUAGCUCAGGUGGCAGAGCUGCUGGUCUAGGAAUCCGAGGGUUCCUGGUUUGAUCCCCGGCUCCUCCA